RNAcentral lists this non-coding RNA (84 nucleotides) under unclassified sequences. The record is from RNAcentral.
UGUAUUUUGCCGCCGGGCAAAAUAAAGACGCCCCUGCUUGUAUCGUAGGCCUUAGAAGAUACAGGCAACGGGCGUCUUUAUUUU